RNAcentral lists this long non-coding RNA (1194 nucleotides) under Cyanistes caeruleus (blue tit). RNAcentral's name for it is "lncRNA (ENSCCEG00000019665.1)". Lineage: Eukaryota; Metazoa; Chordata; Aves; Passeriformes; Paridae. The record is from RNAcentral.
AAAGCUUACCAUGAGACUGUAUUUUAGUUUUUCUACCGACGACCCCUUUUCUUGUGGAACACUCAGUUUUGUUGAUGGAAGGAGUAUCAGCAGAGUUGUGGGCUUCUCGUGGUGACUGAAGGGUCCCUGUGGAUCCUGAAGCGCCGGCUGGGCUCAGGUGUCUGUCUGUCUGUCUGCUGCCGUUAGAAUGGGAAGCUCCUGCCACUCUAAGAGAAGAAGUCUGUCAGGGAAGGCAAGAGACGACAUGUUUUAAUUAUUCGAAUGGCAUCAGCAGAGGAAAGACCCGAAGAAGUGCUGUGAAACAGCAAACAUUACCUCGGGGCUGACUCCAUAACGCGCUCUUUACUGUGAGGUGAGGCUGUCUCCGGUUCUGCGCAUGCGCGCUGCCGCACUGCGGCCGCUCGGGCGCGUGGCACGCGCUUCCCGCCGCCGUGAGAGCGCGAGNNNNNNNNNNNNNNNNNNNNAGCGCCUCUGGGUGCCCUGCUCUCUGGCCACAGAGAGGGCUUUACUGCUGCUCUUUGAUCGUUUGUGGGCUCGGGUACUUCCAGCCAUAGUGUCGGCUUGCCUCAAGUGCUGAAGCGGCCUCUCCUGGAAUGGGGAGCACGGUGCGGUCCGGACAGCGCUGUGGGAAGGCAUCGCGACAUGGCCGAAGCAGAGGAAGGAAGAGCGGCACCAUCGCGUGCUGAGGCGGCGAGGAGAGCAGUGUUAUAAGAAAUAAUUUACCACAGGAGAUGCUGAAAUACUAGAUAUGAACACUAAUAGCUGUAGUCACAUCAGAGGCAUAUGUGCCAUUUAAUAGCAAGUCUGAAUCCCAUCAUUCAUUUGAACAUUGCAGAUUUUCAACAAGCAAGGUCUGCAUUUGGAAAGGUGUUUUCUGUUGCUUUUAUUGUGUCAUGAUGGGAAUUAAUGAGGACAGGAUGCUUCAGAAAAAAGUGGUGGAGAAUUGUUCUCAGAAGUUGUGGGCUGCUAUUGGAACUUCAGGCACUUAGGACUGAGGAGCACCCUCUCUUCAGUGCUUCCAGUUCUGGGGUCUCAGGCAUUUACUUGAUUGGAAUUGAAGCAGCCACUACUACUUCUGAAAUUCUUUUCGGAAAAACUAACAGGAGCUUUUUUAGAAAUGGUUCUAAAACAGCAAUUCUAUUCUAUUUCUUCAUCCUAUUUGAAAAUUCACUUCAUUCAGACAUGAAAAAAUAG